AUUUAUAUAGUUUAAUAAAAUAUUACACUUUCACUGUAAAGAAGAAAUCAUUUUCUAUAAAUA
Molecule: transfer RNA, 63 nt
Filed under: Thesaurus albertalleni
Lineage: Eukaryota; Metazoa; Arthropoda; Insecta; Coleoptera; Cucujidae
Description: tRNA-Glu
Rfam family: tRNA
About the family: Transfer RNA (tRNA) molecules are approximately 80 nucleotides in length. Their secondary structure includes four short double-helical elements and three loops (D, anti-codon, and T loops).
Source: RNAcentral